CGUAGGAGACAAACGUUAUCCGGAGUUACUGGGCGUAAGGGCGUGGUAGGACGGGUCUGUUAAGUCUGGCGUGAAAGCUCUCGGCUAAACCGGGAGAGGUCGUUGGAUACUGGCACGACUGGAGGAUGGUAGAGGCGUGUGGAAUUCCGGGUGUAGUGGUGAAAUGCGUAGAGAUCCGGAGGAACACCAGUGGCGAAGGCGACACGCUGGGCCAUACCUGACGCUAAAGCGCGACAGCAUGGGGAGCAAACGGGAUUAGAAACCCCGGUAGUCCAUGCCGUAAACGAUGCCAGCUAGAUGUUCAAGUCGCGCAAGCGACUGGGGUAUCGCAGCUAACGCGAUAAGCUGGCCGCCUGGGGAGUACGGUCGCAAGGCUA
RNAcentral lists this ribosomal RNA (377 nucleotides) under uncultured organism. RNAcentral describes it as "bacterial SSU rRNA". It matches the Rfam family "Bacterial small subunit ribosomal RNA", at positions 526 to 896 of the family's 1533-position model. The record is from RNAcentral.